CACGUAGGGGGCGAGCGUUGUCCGGAUUUACUGGGCGUAAAGGGAGCGUAGGCGGACUUUUAAGUGAGAUGUGAAAUACCCGGGCUCAACUUGGGUGCUGCAUUUCAAACUGGAAGUCUAGAGUGCAGGAGAGGAGAAUGGAAUUCCUAGUGUAGCGGUGAAAUGCGUAGAGAUUAGGAAGAACACCAGUGGCGAAGGCGAUUCUCUGGACUGUAACUGACGCUGAGGCUCGAAAGCGUGGGGAGCAAACAGGAUUAGAUACCCCGGUAGU
RNAcentral lists this ribosomal RNA (271 nucleotides) under uncultured prokaryote. RNAcentral describes it as "partial 16S ribosomal RNA". It matches the Rfam family "Bacterial small subunit ribosomal RNA", at positions 524 to 794 of the family's 1533-position model. The record is from RNAcentral.